RNAcentral lists this ribosomal RNA (407 nucleotides) under uncultured bacterium. RNAcentral describes it as "partial 16S ribosomal RNA". It matches the Rfam family "Bacterial small subunit ribosomal RNA", at positions 30 to 526 of the family's 1533-position model. The record is from RNAcentral.
AUUGAACGCUGGCGGCAGGCCUAACACAUGCAAGUAGAGAGGAGCGGCGGACGGGUGAGUAAUGCCUAGGAAUCUGCCUGGUAGUGGGGGAUAAAGUCCUGAAACGGGCGCUAAUCCCGCAUACUCUCAGAUGAGCCUAGUGAGGAUUAGCUAGUUGGUGGGGGAAAGGCCUACCAAGGCGACGAUCCGUAACUGGGCUGAGAGGAUGAUCAGUCACACUGGAACUGAGACACGGUCCAGACUCCUACGGGAGGCAUCAGGGGGGAAUAUUGGACAAUGGGCGAAAGCCUGAUCCAGCCAUGCCGCGUGUGUGAAGAAGGUCUUCGGAUUGUAAAGCACUUUAAGUUGGGAGGCGUUACCAACAGAAUAAGCACCGGCUAACUUCGUGCCAGCAGCCGCGGUAAUUC